RNAcentral lists this long non-coding RNA (230 nucleotides) under Hordeum vulgare. RNAcentral describes it as "long non-coding RNA (HVUL_LNC016172)". The record is from RNAcentral. Lineage: Eukaryota; Viridiplantae; Streptophyta; Magnoliopsida; Poales; Poaceae.
UUAAACUAAUUAUGUUAAUUAGGGAAUAAUCCUCCCUUGAACAGAAACGCUUCGUGCGGUUCCUAGCCAACCGACGCGGCGGUUUUCCCACGACCCCCACGACUGGACGCAUCCGUUCGUGGCGACGGUUUCGUGUGUAUUUAAUCUUCACGGAUCAUCAAUGAAAGAGAUAGUUCAUUCUAAACACGUUAUCAGCCCGUAACUCUACCGAGAGCAGAGAAAAGGCAAAA